Molecule: ribosomal RNA, 253 nt
Filed under: uncultured bacterium
Lineage: Bacteria
Description: partial 16S ribosomal RNA
Rfam family: Bacterial small subunit ribosomal RNA
Source: RNAcentral
UACAGAGGUCUCAAGCGUUGUUCGGAUUCAUUGGGCGUAAAGGGUGCGUAGGUGGCGGGGUUAGUCAGGUGUGAAAUUUCGGGGCUCAACCCCGAAACUGCACUUGAUACUGCCUUGCUAGAGUACUGGAGAGGAGAUUGGAAUUUACGGUGUAGCAGUGAAAUGCGUAGAUAUCGUAAGGAAGACCAGUGGCGAAGGCGAAUCUCUGGACAGUUACUGACACUGAGGCACGAAGGCCAGGGGAGCAAACGGG